RNAcentral lists this ribosomal RNA (689 nucleotides) under Symbiodinium sp. Bise07. RNAcentral describes it as "eukaryotic LSU rRNA". It matches the Rfam family "Eukaryotic large subunit ribosomal RNA", at positions 1 to 673 of the family's 3401-position model. The record is from RNAcentral. Lineage: Eukaryota; Dinophyceae; Suessiales; Symbiodiniaceae.
ACACUUUCUAGCAUGAAGUCAGACAAGUGAACCCGCCGAAUUUAAGCAUAUAAGUAAGCGGAGGAGAAGGAACUAAACAGGAUUCCCUCAGUAAUGGCGAACGAACAGGGAUCAGCUUGGGUUGGAAACCGGGGCUUCUGCCUUGGAUUGUGGCCUUUAGACAUACUACCAACGGCGGCGCGAGCGUAAGCCUCUUGGAACAGAGCGUCUACCUGGGUGAGAAUCCUGUGUUUCGCUUGAUGCCCGCCGUGCACGGUACUUGCUCUCAGAGUCACGCUCCUCGGAAUUGGAGCGUAAAUUGGGUGGUAAAUUUCAUCUAAAGCUAAAUACAGGCUCGAGACCGAUAGCAAACAAGUACCAUGAGGGAAAGAUGAAAAGGACUUUGAAAAGAGAGUUAAAAGUGCUCGAAAUCGCUGAACUGGAAGCGAAUGGAACUAGUGUUCUGGUUGAGAUUGCUGCAGGUGGCUACAAAAUCUGGGCUCUGGAAUGCAAGUCCUUUGUUUAAUUUGGAGUUGCUACAUGCAGUGUGUCUCAGCUGGAACAUCAACUCCCAUGCAUGUGUGAGGAUGGCCCUUGCCUCAUGCUCUCUUCCUGCGGUGAAACUCUUCUGCCUGUUGGGAUGCAGGCGUGUGUGGACUUAUUGAUCAAUUAGUUCCAUUCGACCCGUCGUUGAAACACGGACCAAGGAG